Molecule: transfer RNA, 76 nt
Filed under: Metamycoplasma hominis
Lineage: Bacteria; Bacillati; Mycoplasmatota; Mycoplasmoidales; Metamycoplasmataceae
Also listed under: 2 other names
Description: tRNA-Sup (TCA) (tRNA-Sup-TCA-1-1)
Rfam family: tRNA
About the family: Transfer RNA (tRNA) molecules are approximately 80 nucleotides in length. Their secondary structure includes four short double-helical elements and three loops (D, anti-codon, and T loops). Further hydrogen bonds mediate the characteristic L-shaped molecular structure. tRNAs have two regions of fundamental functional importance: the anti-codon, which is responsible for specific mRNA codon recognition, and the 3' end, to which the tRNAs corresponding amino acid is attached (by aminoacyl-tRNA synthetases). tRNAs cope with the degeneracy of the genetic code in two manners: having more than one tRNA (with a specific anti-codon) for a particular amino acid; and 'wobble' base-pairing, i.e. permitting non-standard base-pairing at the 3rd anti-codon position.
Source: RNAcentral
AUGGGUAUAGUUCAAUCGGCAGAACAACGGGCUUCAACCCCGUGUGUUGUGAGUUCAAGUCUUACUACCCAUGCCA